CGCAGUGGCGUGUGUAAUUUGUGCUCUUCAAGGUAACGCAACAGCAUGAGGUCGCGCCCAAGUGUGAUGGCUUCGGC
RNAcentral lists this transfer RNA (77 nucleotides) under Chlorobium chlorochromatii CaD3. Its description in RNAcentral is "tRNA-Val". The record is from RNAcentral. Lineage: Bacteria; Pseudomonadati; Chlorobiota; Chlorobiia; Chlorobiales; Chlorobiaceae.